UUGCCUGAGUCAACAGUGGAUAGGUCUGUGUAAAGCACACUUUUGUCCUUAGGGACACACAGGCAUGCCAGUACACAUUCAUCCAAGAAGUGCAUGGCAUUCCUGAUGAGGGAUCAAUGAAGCAACUCUUGACACCUUACUGACAUGCAUACAGAGGACAGUCAUAGGAGGCAAAGCGAAGAGAGGCCAUGGCCAAACAUCCUAUUAACCAGCAGGGCCUCACAGAUGCCCCAGGGGAAAACAGGCAAGAAACUGGCUACAGAAAGUAGGGAAGACAGGAAGGAGCCGGAAGAAGGACAUGUGCAGACAGAGCUUCAGAAGACAAUACCACUGAACAAACUGAAUUUCACUGAGUGAUGCUGAGCAUCUCUGCUGCCUGUCUUCCCAACCAAUGUUCAUGAAAACUAAAGGACACUUCUAUAGCUGUCUUACUGGGCAGAGGAGAAGAGGCAGUAGGAGCAUACAGUAAGGGCCAACAUAGCUACCCGAGACGAACAAGUGGAAUGGGCUGUGGCAAAAAUGACAGUGAUAACUUCAGUAAAACUCUGCCAAGAUGGUGAA
Long non-coding RNA from Odocoileus virginianus texanus, 561 nucleotides. RefSeq lists it as uncharacterized. Lineage: Eukaryota; Metazoa; Chordata; Mammalia; Artiodactyla; Cervidae. The record is from RefSeq and is a predicted model, not a curated record.